RNAcentral lists this ribosomal RNA (253 nucleotides) under uncultured prokaryote. RNAcentral describes it as "partial 16S ribosomal RNA". It matches the Rfam family "Bacterial small subunit ribosomal RNA", at positions 524 to 776 of the family's 1533-position model. The record is from RNAcentral.
UACGGGGGGAGCAAGCGUUGUUCGGAUUUAUUGGGCGUAAAGAGCGUGUAGGCGGCCAUACAGGUCAGCUGUGAAAACUCGAGGCUCAACCUCGAGACGUCGGUUGAAACCGUAUGGCUAGAGUCCGGUAGGGGAGUGUGGAAUUCCCGGUGUAGCGGUGAAAUGCGCAGAUAUCGGGAGGAACACCAGUAGCGAAGGCGACACUCUGGGCCGGUACUGACGCUGAGGAGCGAAAGCGUGGGGAGCAAACAGG